This 412-nucleotide ribosomal RNA is filed under the name uncultured bacterium. Its description in RNAcentral is "bacterial SSU rRNA". It matches the Rfam family "Bacterial small subunit ribosomal RNA", at positions 505 to 916 of the family's 1533-position model. The record is from RNAcentral.
GUGCCAGCCGCCGCGGUAAUACGUAGGUGGCAAGCGUUGUCCGGAUUUAUUGGGCGUAAAGCGAACGCAGGCGGGAAGAUAAGUCAGCUGUGAAAGCCCCCAGCUUAACUGGGGAACUGCAGCUGAAACUAUGUUUCUUGAGUGCAGAAGAGGAGAGUGGAACUCUACGUGUAGCGGUGAAAUGCGUAGAGAUGUGGAGGAAUACCGGUGGCGAAGGCGGCCUUCUGGACAGAUACUGACGCUGAGAUGCGAAAGCGUGGGGAGCAAACAGGAUUAGAUACCCUGGUAGUCCACGCUGUAAACGAUGUCGAUUUGGAGUUUGUUGCCUAGAGUGAUGGGCUCCGAAGCUAACGCGAUAAAUCGACCGCCUGGGGAGUACGGCCGCAAGGUUAAAACUUAAAGAAAUUGACGG